Molecule: ribosomal RNA, 551 nt
Filed under: uncultured Glomeromycotina
Lineage: Eukaryota; Fungi; Glomeromycota
Description: SSU rRNA
Rfam family: Eukaryotic small subunit ribosomal RNA
Source: RNAcentral
UUGGAGGGCAAGUCUGGUGCCAGCAGCCGCGGUAAUUCCAGCUCCAAUAGCGUAUAUUAAAGUUGUUGCAGUUAAAAAGCUCGUAGUUGAACCUCGGGGUCUACCCAUUGGUCAGGCUUAAUUGUCUGUACUGGUGAGAUGGAUCUCUACCUUCUGAGGAACUUUCAUGCCAUUUAUUUGGUGUGAUGGGAAAUCAGGACUGUUACUUUGGAAAAAUUAGAGUGUUUAAAGCAGACUAUCGUCUGAAUACAUUAGCAUGGAAUAAUGAAAUAGGACGGACUGAUUCUAUUUCGUUGGUUUCUAGGAUCACCGUAAUGAUUAAUAGGGAUAGUUGGGGGCAUUAGUAUUCAAUUGUCAGAGGUGAAAUUCUUGGAUUUAUUGAAGACUAACUACUGCGAAAGCAUUUGCCAAGGAUGUUUUCAUUAAUCAAGAACGAAAGUUAGGGGAUCGAAGACGAUCAGAUACCGUCGUAGUCUUAACCAUAAACUAUGCCGACUAGGGAUCGGACGGAGUUAAUUUUAUAAUGACGCGUUCGGCGCCUUACGGGAAAC